RNAcentral lists this ribosomal RNA (346 nucleotides) under uncultured Pseudomonadota bacterium. RNAcentral describes it as "bacterial SSU rRNA". It matches the Rfam family "Bacterial small subunit ribosomal RNA", at positions 28 to 351 of the family's 1533-position model. Lineage: Bacteria; Pseudomonadati; Pseudomonadota. The record is from RNAcentral.
GACGAACGCUGGCGGCGUGCUUAACACAUGCAAGUUGUGCGGGUUUUUGCAGAUAGUAAUAUUUGCAGGAAUCAGCGGCGGACGGGUGAGUAAUACAUAGGUAAUCUACCUUCGAGCUUGGGAUAACCCCGCGAAAGUGGAGCUAAUACCGGAUAAGACCACGUGGCAUACGCUACGGGGUAGAAGGUGGCUUGUAUUUAUACUGGCUAUCACUUGAGGAUGAGCCUAUGGCCUAUCAGCUUGUUGGCGGGGUAAGAGCCCACCAAGGCUAUGACGGGUAGUUGGUCUGAGAGGACGACCAACCACACUGGGACUGAGACACGGCCCAGACUCCUACGGGAGGCAG